AACGAACGCUGGCGGCAUGCCUAACACAUGCAAGUCGAACGAGACCUUCGGGUCUAGUGGCGCACGGGUGCGUAACGCGUGGGAACCUGCCCUUAGGUUCGGAAUAACUCCCCGAAAGGGGUGCUAAUACCGGAUAAUGUCUUCGGACCAAAGAUUUAUCGCCUUUGGAUGGGCCCGCGUUGGAUUAGCUAGUUGGUAGGGUAAAAGCCUACCAAGGCGACGAUCCAUAGCUGGUCAGAGAGGAUGAUCAGCCACACUGGGACUGAGACACGGCCCAGACUCCUACGGGAGGCAGCAGUGGGGAAUAUUGGACAAUGGGCGAAAGCCUGAUCCAGCAAUGCCGCGUGAGUGAUGAAGGCCUUAGGGUUGUAAAGCUCGUUUACCCGGGAUGAUAAUGACAGUACCGGGAGAAUAAGCUCCGGCUAACUCCGUG
This 433-nucleotide ribosomal RNA is filed under the name uncultured bacterium. RNAcentral describes it as "partial 16S ribosomal RNA". It matches the Rfam family "Bacterial small subunit ribosomal RNA", at positions 29 to 507 of the family's 1533-position model. The record is from RNAcentral.